Molecule: ribosomal RNA, 1392 nt
Filed under: metagenome
Description: bacterial LSU rRNA
Rfam family: Bacterial large subunit ribosomal RNA
Source: RNAcentral
UAUGUGGGGACGGAGAAGGUUAACUCAGCCGGGUGUUGGAUGUCCCGGUUCAAGCGUGUAGACGUGCUGUUUAGGCAAAUCCGGACGGCUUAGUUGAGACGUGAUAACGCAGCACUCCUCGGAGUGCCAAGUGAGCGAUACCAUGCUUCCAGGAAAAGCCACUAAGCUUCAGUUGAAUGAAGACCGUACCGUAAACCGACACAGGUGGGUAGGAUGAGAAUUCUAAGGCGCUUGAGAGAACUCAGGAGAAGGAACUCGGCAAAAUAGCACCGUAACUUCGGGAAAAGGUGUGCCCUUUGUAUGUGUAGCGCCUCGCGCGUGAAGCAGAAUAGGGUUGCAAUGAAAUGGUGGCUGCGACUGUUUAAUAAAAACAUAGCACUCUGCAAACACGAAAGUGGACGUAUAGAGUGUGACGCCUGCCCGGUGCCGGAAGGUUAAAUGAUGGGGUGCAAGCUCUUGAUUGAAGCCCCGGUAAACGGCGGCCGUAACAAUAACGGUCCUAAGGUAGCGAAAUUCCUUGUCGGGUAAGUUCCGACCUGCACGAGUGGCGUAACGAUGGCCACACUGUCUCCUCCUGGGACUCAGCGAAGUUGAAAUGUUUGUGAAGAUGCAAUCUCCCCGCGGCUAGACGGAAAGACCCCGUGCACCUUUACUGUAGCUUUACAUUGGACUUUGAUAACAUCUGUGUAGGAUAGGUGGGAGGCUUUGAAGUGGACUCGCUAGAGUUCAUGGAGCCAUCGUUGAAAUACCACCCUGAUGUUGUUGGGGUUCUAACCUAGAUCCAUUAUCUGGAUUGGGGACCGUGUAUGGUAGGCAGUUUGACUGGGGCGGUCUCCUCCCAAAUUGUAACGGAGGAGUACGAAGGUACGCUAGGUACGGUCGGAAAUCGUGCUGAUAGUGCAAUGGCAAAAGCGUGCUUGACUGCGAGACUGACAAGUCGAGCAGAUGCGAAAGCAGGUCAUAGUGAUCCGGUGGUUCUGUAUGGAAGGGCCAUCGCUCAACGGAUAAAAGGUACGCCGGGGAUAACAGGCUGAUUCCUCCCAAGAGUUCAUAUCGACGGGGGAGUUUGGCACCUCGAUGUCGGCUCAUCACAUCCUGGGGCUGUAGCCGGUCCCAAGGGUAUGGCUGUUCGCCAUUUAAAGUGGUACGUGAGCUGGGUUUAAAACGUCGUGAGACAGUUUGGUCCCUAUCUGCCGUGGGCGUUGGAAGUUUGAGUGGACCUGCUCCUAGUACGAGAGGACCGGAGUGGACGCACCUCUGGUGUACCGGUUAUGACGCCAGUCGUAUCGCCGGGUAGCUAAGUGCGGAAGAGAUAACCGCUGAAAGCAUCUAAGCGGGAAACUCUCCUCAAGAUGAGACUUCCCGAGGGUUUAACCCUCCUAAAGGUUCGUC